GUUUUAAAACCAGCUGUGGGGCCAGAUGGGUCCCAUUCCUGCCCGGCUGGCAGCGUCAUCCCUCGAACAUCUGCCAAGAGCUGUCAGAAAAGCUCUCGCUCAGCCGGUUCUCGGGGUGGCUAUGAAUCAUUUCUUGCUCACAGGCCCAGUGGGGAGAGAGCCGCCCGCUUCCAGGACUCCCCUGAUUCUAUCCCCCAGGGAGCCACAUCCCCAGGAAGAGACAUGCCUGGGCUGUCACCGAGUGCCCCAGGACACGACGUACCCAGAAUUUGGUUUGAACAUGUUGCCCUCAACUGUCCUCAGCCUUUUUGGGAAAAUAAAAACAAAACAACAACAAACUGAAAAGAUUAGAAUUCUUGUGUGCCUGGUAAAAAGUCCUACUCAGCCCUCAAGGCCCCAGGAGCUAUCACAUCCUUGGGCCUGCCCAGCACACAGCCCUGCUCUGACCCCAUCAUAACUGCCAGCAAGAGCCUGUCCUGAGCCGCCGACCGCAGGACCCUGGGGCCUGCAUCUCACCCGGACGUAGCGCCUGCCCCCCAGGCUCCUGGCAGUAUGGGGCCUGACGGCACCAGAAGUGAAGGAGUGUGGGGAGGCGUCUCGAUCCUGCCCUGUAACAACCCCCUUCACUUCUCAGGACUCUUCUGCCUUCUGGAAAGCCCCACGUGGGUCGGGCCUCACCCUUUCCUCAGCCAGGGUCUCCUGAGAUGGUUUUCCCUUCUCUCCUCUGAGAUACUCUUCCUCCUGUCUCUCCCAGUGCUCCGUGAUACCAUGUCAUGGGCAGGCAUCUUGGGACACCUAUGUCUCUGUCUGGAGGCCCCAUCUGUGUUCUUUUUGGAAGCAAGCUGGGUGUCAACAGAUAAAAUGUAGAUCUGGCUCUAGGUUGGUCCCCCCCAGCUCUGGAGGACUCCCUGCUUCCCCUCCCACCACUGCCUGCCGGGGAUGUCCGCCCUAGGGUGACAACCCACCUCACGUGGCCUGAGUCUGUCCUAAGCCCUCCACAGGCAUUUGCUGACUCAGUCCUCGCAAGCAUCUGGUCAGGACCACAUUAUUAUUCUCUUAUUUUACAGAGUGGGUCAGAGGGGCCCAGAGAGGUUCAGUGACCUGCCCAGACACACACAGCCCAGGAGUGGAGGAGCCAGUACGCAGCUCUUGGCACGCUCAUCUCAGAACACACGGGAGAGACAGUGAGGGUGACUCCCUCAGAGCCAGAGACUGCAGCCCCGAGGCCUGUGGAUGACUGACAUCCACUGAGACCCCCGACGGGAGGCACCUUGGGGCCAUUUUCCCCACGGGGGGUCGAGAGGGGUUUUGCUUCAGAGGUGGGAGGCCCAUGCGACGGAUGGCCAUGUGGCCAGGCGACACCAAAGCCUGGCAGUAUACAGCUUCCCCAGGAAUGCGGGUGAAGAACACCCCCCACCCUCACAGGGAGGACCCCUCCUGCAGAGGAGCAGUAGAGCAAGGUCAAGUGGAGACCAGCCCAGGGCCCUCCGAGUCCUGUGGGUGUGGCCAUGCAAACGCAAGCCCAUCGUCCUCACCAAGACCACAGGCGUCCUGCAGGGGCGUGUGAAGCUGCCACAGGAGGGCAAAAGGUUUCUGUGAUUUUAUGAACUUGUUUUCACAGCUCACCAGUUGAAGAAGCUGAUCUGGACUAGGUCUGAUAAUAUGCUGGGCAGCGGCACAGGCCAAGAUCCCUAUGCGGGGGCUCACUGACGGGUCAGGACCAGGAGGCCCUGGACACGACUCUUUCAGAGGAUUGGGUGCCCAGGCCCCCCGGCGCGGGGAUGGGGGGGUUCCCGCUGGUCAGAGCAGCUGCUCCUGCCUCCCUCAUGCCAGCUCUGGUUCUCCUGUGCCUGGCCCCGCGUGGCUGCUGUGCUCCCCUCUGAAGCACACCGACCCCCCUCCAGCAGUCUUUCUGCCCCUGAGACGCUCCCUAUCCCCCGCAGGAGGAAUUCCCGCUCCCGACCCCACUCAGAGCAGCCAAUCAAGGGAAAGAGGAAGUUCCCUUGCAGGUCCAUGGACCCUUUCAUUUCCUGUUCAAACAGCAGCUCACGCCGGUGGAGCCUUCAUCAGGCAGAUUUGCCUGGGACCCUCCUGACACACCCCUGCCAUGGCCUAAAGAACCUGUUCCCUCAUUGGGGAGGGUAUGUGCUUUGGUGAGUGCUGUGAAGUGUGUAAACCCGGUGAUUCACAGACCUGUACCCCUGGG
Molecule: long non-coding RNA, 2206 nt
Filed under: Mustela putorius furo (domestic ferret)
Lineage: Eukaryota; Metazoa; Chordata; Mammalia; Carnivora; Mustelidae
Description: lncRNA (ENSMPUG00000025304.1)
Source: RNAcentral